UGUUACCCCCAAUAAUAAUAAUAAUAAAAAUAAUGAAGAAGAAGAACCAAGCAAGACUGGCGUGUAAUUCCUCGUCUUUACCAUGUCGGUUGCGGAUUUAUUGCAUCUGGCCUAACAACUUUGUAGUUAUUUGUGGGUUUAUGCAUUUUUAUAUUUCAUUUUUGGUUGCAAUGUAAUUGCGCCGGAAUUCUAUUGUAUGUAUAUACUCUGCAUGAAUGUGGGUGCAGUGUGUUGGAAUUUCUUCACUGAGCAUUGAGGAGUGGAGGGCAGUGGUCAAAAUUUCAUCUUUUCCUGUUAAAAAUGGUGGGUGGCGGUGUUUCUCGCAAGAAGGUUACGAUAGGAGUGUGUGUUAUGGAAAAGAAGGUGAAAUGCGGCUCCGAGGCUUUUUCUGGGCCGAUGCUGCAGAUUUUGGAGAGGCUGCAGGCAUUUGGAGAAUUCGAUAUUGUGCAUUUUGGGGACAAGGUAAUCCUUGAAGAACCUAUUGAAAGAUGGCCUAUAUGUGACUGCUUGAUUGCCUUCUAUUCGACUGGGUAUCCUCUGGAGAAGGCUGAAGCAUAUGCUACUCUAAGAAAGCCUUUUCUUGUAAACGAACUGGGGGAACAACAUCUUCUUCAUGAUCGGAGGAGAGUGUAUGAGAGACUUGAAAUGUUUGGAAUUAAUGUUCCAAGAUAUGCCCUAGUGAACAGAGAGUUUCCCAAUCAAGAGCUGGAUUUUUUUGUUGAGGAGGAGGAUUUUGUUGAAGUUCACGGCAAUCGGUUCUGGAAGCCUUUUGUGGAAAAGCCAAUUCAUGGUGAUGAUCACAGUAUAAUGAUAUAUUACCCUAGUUCAGCUGGUGGGGGAAUGAAGGAAUUGUUUAGAAAGGUUGGUAAUCGGUCAAGUGAAUUUCAUCCAGAUGUGAGAAGAGUGAGACGUGAAGGGUCUUAUAUAUAUGAGGAAUUUAUGCCCACUGGAGGCACAGAUGUAAAGGUGUACACAGUGGGUCCCGAAUAUGCUCAUGCAGAGGCAAGGAAAUCUCCAGUGGUUGAUGGUGUAGUUAUGAGAAACCCUGAUGGUAAAGAAGUUAGAUAUCCUGUUCUGCUCACUCCUAUUGAGAAAGAAAUGGCUCGAGAGGUCUGCAUCGCAUUUAGGCAAGCUGUUUGUGGCUUCGAUCUCUUGCGCUGUGAGGGGCGUUCCUAUGUUUGUGAUGUCAAUGGAUGGAGCUUCGUCAAGAACUCUUACAAAUAUUAUGAUGAUGCUGCAUGUGUUCUGAGGAAAAUGUUUCUCGAUGCUAAAGCUCCACAUCUUUCAUCAACAAUUCCUCCAGUUCUACCUUGGAAGGUUAGCGAACCAACUCAGCCCACUGAUGGCCUAACACGUCAGGGAAGUGGGAUAAUCGGAACUUUUGGGCAGUCUGAAGAACUGCGUUGCGUGAUUGCCAUUGUUCGUCAUGGUGACAGAACUCCGAAACAGAAAGUGAAGUUGCGAGUUACUGAGGAAAAACUUUUGAAUUUGAUGUUGAAGUAUAACGGGGGGAAACCUAGAGCAGAGACAAAGCUCAAAACUGCUGUUCAACUGCAAGAUCUUUUGGAUGCGACACGAAUUUUAGUUCCUCGUGUUAGACCCGAUCAAGAGAGUGAUAGUGAAGCUGAAGACAUCGAGCAUGCUGAAAAGCUUCGGCUAGUGAAAGCCGUGCUUGAGGAGGGGGGGCAUUUCUCUGGCAUUUAUCGCAAAGUCCAACUUAAGCCAUUAAACUGGGUCAAAGUGGCGAAAGCAAAUGGCGAAGGGGAAGAGGAAAGGCCUACUGAGGCCCUCAUGAUUCUCAAAUACGGCGGUGUCCUUACGCAUGCUGGUAGAAAGCAGGCUGAAGAACUAGGACGGUAUUUCCGGAACAAUAUGUAUCCAGGUGAAGGUACGGGCCUGCUUCGCCUCCACAGUACAUAUCGCCAUGAUUUAAAGAUAUACAGCUCAGACGAAGGCCGCGUGCAGAUGUCUGCAGCUGCUUUUGCUAAAGGUCUUCUAGACUUGGAAGGGCAAUUGACACCGAUCUUGGUAGACUCUUCUAUGUUGGACGGAUUGGAAAAUGCCAGUUCCGAGAUGGUAGAAGCUAAGGCCAAACUAAACGAGAUUAUAACUUCUGAAAAUACGACCGAGAGCACUGACCCGCCAGAAGAAAAGCCUUGGAUGGUAGAUGGGUGUGGAGUUCCUCCAAAUGCGUCCCAACUUCUUCCCGAAAUUGUGAAGUUAACAAAGAAGCUCACUGAGCAAGUAAGACUUCUAGCCAAGGAUGAGAAUGAGGAGCUCGCUGGGAAGACCUCUUACGAUGUGAUUCUUCCGUACGAUCAAGCAAAGGCACUUGGCAAGACGAGUAUGGAUGUUGAUCGAAUCGCUGCUGGCUUACCUUGUGGCAGCGAGGGAUUUCUUCUCAUGCUUGCUCGGUGGAGAAAACUCGCGAUGGAUUUGUAUAACGAACGCAGAGAGCGGUUUGACAUUACACAAAUACCAGAUGUUUAUGACUCGAGCAAAUACGAUCUCUUGCACAAUGGACAUCUAAAAUUAGAAGGCCUAUACGAACUUUUCAAAGUGGCGCAGUUACUUGCAGAUGGUGUUAUUCCGAACGAGUAUGGAAUCAACCCAAAACAGAAAUUGAAAAUUGGAUCCAAGAUUGCUCGUCGUUUGUUGGGGAAGAUCUUGAUCGAUCUGCGAAACACGCGUGAAGAAGCGAUCAGCAUUGCCGAGUUGAAGAGCAGCCAAGAUAGCAAUGCAGAAGUCCCUAGCAUUGUAAGAGAAGAUUCAGAUAGUCAAAUAAAAUCUCAAAGUAAAAUCGAACUCGCGGCGAAAGGUAGUCUCAGCAGUGAGAAAUCCAUGGAUCAAGAUGAUGACGACGACAAAGAACCCAAGUACCGAUUGGACCCCAAAGUAAGUAUUUGCAUAGCGUUUUUGGUUUUUUGCAGAUUUAUUUUUCGAAUUUUAUGAUAUUGUAAGUUUUUGCUUUGCAAAAAUUGAAUUCUCAAUUCAAACUGUUUGAAACUGUGAUAGUUUUUCUUCCAAUGUAUGUAUGUUUACUUCCAUCAGGUAUGCAAAUGUAAGAACACCGGAACGACACGUGCGGACGCGCCUAUAUUUUACAUCGGAAUCCCAUAUCCAUUCCUUGAUGAACGUCCUUCGCUACUGCAACAUGGACGAGUCUCUCCAAGGAGAACCGAGUCUCGUGUGUGACAGCACCUUGGAGCGCUUGUGUCGGACAAAGGAGCUUGACUACAUGAGUUACAUUGUGUUCAGGUUAUUUGAGAACACAGAGGUGGCAUUGGAAGAUCCAAAAAGAUUCCGCGUGGAAAUGACCUUUAGCCGAGGUGCAGACUUAUCCCCUUUGGAGCAAAAUGAUGACACGUCUUCGUGGCAUCAAGAGCACACGUUGGCCAUAAAUGGCCCUGAGCGGCUGCAAGAAGUGGGAUCAUACUUGACAUUCGAGAGGAUGGAGAGGAUGAUCCGGCCCUUCGCAAUGCCAGCAGAAGAUUUCCCUCCUCCCACGAUUCCUCAAGGAUUCUCCGGCUACUUCUCCAAGAGCGCGGCUGUUUUGGAACGCCUCGUUAAUCUUUGGCCCUUCAACAGGAACUCAUCACACACCAACGGGAAGUAGUCAAGUCACAUAAUCCUUCCAUUCUGCCCAUCAAGAUCGAGUCUUUCGCCUUUUUUCGCUCGAUAAAAUUGCUGCAUUUUUGUCCAUUCAUGUGGGUGGUGGUUCAAAUGAUGAGAUCCUUGAUCAUGUUUGUGUUUUGCUAGAUUCAUGGUGACAGUUUUGAGACUGAGAAGAAAGGGUUGUUUAUUUGUUUUUUCUUUGGUGCAAGAUUUUGUUGGUAGAUUGUGGUGGGCCUGUAAAUGGUGAAUUUGAGCCCAACAAAAUGUUUUUGUAGGCCCCUUUUGUUUGAAGCCUACCAUAUAUAUAAUCAUAGGAAAUUUUAGGUUUCUCUAGAAUCUUAGUGGGCCUAUUUUCUCCUAGACAUUUUGUUGUUGGACAUAAAUGGGUUGCAACAGUGACUCGGCGAUGUCGACAUUUUGUUCUAUUUUCUCAA
Salvia miltiorrhiza (redroot sage) is the source of this 4049-nucleotide RNA transcript. It is a transcript of the gene named inositol hexakisphosphate and diphosphoinositol-pentakisphosphate kinase VIP2-like, with no coding region annotated. NCBI's taxonomy places the organism in Eukaryota, Viridiplantae, Streptophyta, Magnoliopsida, Lamiales, Lamiaceae. The record is from RefSeq and is a predicted model, not a curated record. The transcript has 29 exons.